RNAcentral lists this ribosomal RNA (416 nucleotides) under uncultured bacterium. RNAcentral's name for it is "bacterial SSU rRNA". It matches the Rfam family "Bacterial small subunit ribosomal RNA", at positions 28 to 439 of the family's 1533-position model. The record is from RNAcentral.
GACGAACGCUGGCGGCGCGCCUAACACAUGCAAGUCGAACGAGCGAGAGAGAGCUUGCUUUCUUGAGCGAGUGGCGAACGGGUGAGUAACGCGUGAGGAACCUGCCUCAAAGAGGGGGACAACAGUUGGAAACGACUGCUAAUACCGCAUAAGCCCACGACCCGGCAUCGGGUUGAGGGAAAAGGAGCAAUCCGCUUUGAGAUGGCCUCGCGUCCGAUUAGCUAGUUGGUGAGGUAACGGCCCACCAAGGCGACGAUCGGUAGCCGGACUGAGAGGUUGAACGGCCACAUUGGGACUGAGACACGGCCCAGACUCCUACGGGAGGCAGCAGUGGGGAAUAUUGCACAAUGGGGGAAACCCUGAUGCAGCGACGCCGCGUGGAGGAAGAAGGUCUUCGGAUUGUAAACUCCUGUUGU